RNAcentral lists this long non-coding RNA (856 nucleotides) under Physcomitrium patens. Its description in RNAcentral is "long non-coding RNA (PPAT_LNC014905)". The record is from RNAcentral. Lineage: Eukaryota; Viridiplantae; Streptophyta; Bryopsida; Funariales; Funariaceae.
UAUAAUCUUUUUCUUUCUUUUCUUUUAAAAUCAUCAACUUUCUUAUACAUAAUAUUUCCAUUCUCCAAUAUACCAAUAAAACUCGCAUCAAAGGCACCUUUAUCUCGCGAGAGUACCUCCUCUUUUGUACCUCCAUAAUCUCGCUUUAUAGUGGUACCUCUCCAAAAUCCUUUAAUCCUUCAACAAUCUUUGGCAAUGGUUUCUCCCUCAACCUAUCUCGAUUCCGUUCAUGGUUAGGAGGUACUGUUAGAAAUUAUACAACUUUCCUUCUAUCUUCGCUACGUACCCUUGCAUAAGCAGAACCAUCGUCAAGUACUUUUGUUUCCAUCUGUGUUACCGUAAUAUAAGGUUGUCCUAAAAUCAACGGAUAAGACGUUGUAUCUUGAACAAAGAAAUGUUGCUCCGUCACAACAUCCCCAAUCCAAAUUUUGACAUCUAGACAAGCUCUAUAUAAUUCGUCCCAUGUGUUAUUAGCUGCUCGUAUUGCCCAUCCAUGUUCCAUAUCAAUUGGCCAUUUUUGCUUCUUAUAAAGAUCUUUAGACAUGAGAUUUAUUUCAGAAUCAUGGUCGACUAAAGCAACAAUUGGUUCUUCUAUAUCUCCUACUUUCAUCAAUACCUCAAUAGUUGCCCUUGCCCAAUGCUUUCAAGUAUAAUGGCUCAAAGUUUCUAUUUCCUUAUCACUAUAAUCUUUAAAACAUACUCGUUGAUUAUAUCCAUUCUUUUCAUUUGUUGGUUGCUUGUAACCAAUAUCAACCUCUUCUUCAUCUUUAUAUAUUCUUGCAUCAAUAGCAUGACUCAUUCCAGUUUCGUCCAUUAAUUGCCUCUUUCGCUUAAUGCUGUCAAUGAUAACAUCAUG